GCGGGCGUGGCGAAAUGGCAGACGCGCGGGUCUUAGAAGCCCGUGGAGAAAUCCGUGCUGGUUCAAGUCCAGUCGCCCGCA
Molecule: transfer RNA, 81 nt
Filed under: Vicinamibacteria bacterium
Lineage: Bacteria; Pseudomonadati; Acidobacteriota; Vicinamibacteria
Description: tRNA-Leu
Rfam family: tRNA
About the family: Transfer RNA (tRNA) molecules are approximately 80 nucleotides in length.
Source: RNAcentral